UUCCGUAGGUGAACCUGCGGAGGGAUCAUUACCGAGUUUACAACUCCCAAACCCCUGUGAACAUACCAAUUGUUGCCUCGGCGGAUCAGCCCGCUCCCGGUAAAACGGGACGGCCCGCCAGAGGACCCCUAAACUCUGUUUCUAUAUGUAACUUCUGAGUAAAACCAUAAAUAAAUCAAAACUUUCAACAACGGAUCUCUUGGUUCUGGCAUCGAUGAAGAACGCAGCAAAAUGCGAUAAGUAAUGUGAAUCGCAGAAUUCAGUGAAUCAUCGAAUCUUUGAACGCACAUUGCGCCCGCCAGUAUUCUGGCGGGCAUGCCUGUUCGAGCGUCAUUUCAACCCUCAAGCCCAGCUUGGUGUUGGGACUCGCGAGUCAAAUCGCGUUCCCCAAAUUGAUUGGCGGUCACGUCGAGCUUCCAUAGCGUAGUAGUAAAACCCUCGUUACUGGUAAUCGUCGCGGCCACGCCGUUAAACCCCAACUUCUGAAUGUUGACCUCGGAUCAGGUAGGAAUACCCGCUGAACUUAAGCAUAUCAAUAAGCGGAGGAAA
Molecule: ribosomal RNA, 549 nt
Filed under: Fusarium verticillioides
Lineage: Eukaryota; Fungi; Ascomycota; Sordariomycetes; Hypocreales; Nectriaceae
Description: eukaryotic LSU rRNA
Rfam family: 5.8S ribosomal RNA (bases 180-333)
Source: RNAcentral